GGAAAUUCCAAAUCAACUUUAUUGAUAAGUUAUACGGUCCAGCAUUCAGUAUACUAAACUUCAACAUCUCUUUACACAUUCAAGGAAUGUCGAAUGGUGCUUACAGUAUAUUUUCACCAAUUCCGUUGCUAUUUUACGGAAAGUGAAACAGGAAAGUGUCACUAGCCCGUUUGAUUCACCAAAUGCUUAAUCAAUCAAGUUUAGCAACUGCUGCUUGCUAACUCUGGGCAUCCGUUCUCCUAAAACAAUAAACUUGCCCAAGCAGCAAUAAAUGCAAAGCCACCGAGAGGAGCUAAGGUUGAGUAUUUCCUGUCUUCAAGAAGUGCAACAGCAUAGCACGAUCCAGAGAAAGCCAUAAUUCCACCAGUUAGCAGCCCUCCAAAAAUGUUUGGAUGUUUAGUGAUAGGCGCAGCAAGAAGGGCAGCAGUGUGAACCAGAUGGUACAAUGACGCAGUAUUCCACACCUCUUUGUAAGUGGGGUUUUGGGGCUUGAAACCAUGAGCACCAUAAGCUCCUAACCCAACAGCAGCUACACCAGAUAUAGCAGCUAUCUUGUGCCAGAUUUGAGGAUCCAUUUUUGAUGAUUUCUGGGUUUUGGAUGAACUGGUUUUGAUCUUUGCAACUUUGUUCAAGUUUGG
This 638-nucleotide unclassified non-coding RNA is filed under the name Hevea brasiliensis (rubber tree). Lineage: Eukaryota; Viridiplantae; Streptophyta; Magnoliopsida; Malpighiales; Euphorbiaceae. The record is from RNAcentral.